This is an RNA transcript of Cavia porcellus (domestic guinea pig), 8604 nucleotides long. It is a transcript of the gene named TGF-beta activated kinase 1 (MAP3K7) binding protein 2, with no coding region annotated. The record is from RefSeq and is a predicted model, not a curated record. The transcript has 9 exons. NCBI's taxonomy places the organism in Eukaryota, Metazoa, Chordata, Mammalia, Rodentia, Caviidae.
GCUGAGCGGGGAGGGAGGAAGGGCUGAGGUGUCCCCCCUGCCUGGUGGACUCGGAGGCGGCGGCGGCGCUGGCGGCGACGGUGGAGACGGCUGCCCUAGUGGGAGAGGCGGCGGCGGCCGAGGAGGAGGAGGGAGAAGCGGCGGCGAAGGGCUCCAGACCCAGUUCCUGGACCUGCCCUGGAAAAGAAGUAUCCGGUAGAGAUGAGCUCACUGCAGUUACUUAAUUAAAAAUUUGUAAGCUGCAAAAAUGGCAGUGGGCCAGCCAAGAACAGCUACAAUUUGAAUUUUUCUAUUUCCAGAAAAUGCUUGGACAGAAGAGAUGAGUACUAAUUUCACUAAGGCCUAAAAUUGCCUGCUGUACAGAUAGUCCUGAUUAGGCAAUAUACGAAUGGCCCAAGGAAGCCACCAAAUUGAUUUUCAGGUUUUACGUGACCUGCGACAGAAAUUCCCUGAAGUACCUGAAGUUGUUGUAUCCAGGUGCAUGUUACAGAAUAAUAAUAACCUGGAUGCCUGCUGUGCUGUUCUCUCUCAAGAGAGUACAAGAUAUCUUUAUGGUGAAGGAGACUUGAAUUUUUCGGAUGAUUCUGAAAUUUCUGGUCUACGCAAUCACAUGACUUCUCUCAAUUUAGACUUGCAGUCAGAGAAUGUUUAUCACCAUGGAAGAGAAGGAAAUAGAAUGAAUGGAAGUAGAACUCUAAUGCACAGCAUUAGUGAUGGACAACUUCAAGGUGGUCAGUCCAAUAAUGAACUGUUUCAGCAGGAGCCACAAACAGCACCAGCUCAAGUUCCUCAAGGCUUUAAUGUUUUUGGACUGUCCAGUACAUCUGGUGCUUCAAAUUCAACACCACAUCUUGGAUUUCACUUAGGCAGCAAAGGAACAUCAAACCUUUCUCAGCAAACUCCCAGAUUUAAUCCCAUUAUGGUAACCUUAGCCCCAAAUAUUCAGACUGGUCGUAAUACUCCUACAUCUUUGCACAUACAUGGUGUACCUCCGCCUGUACUUAACAGUCCACAGGGAAAUUCUAUCUACAUUAGGCCUUACAUUACAACUCCUAGUGGUACAACUCGACAGACACAGCAGCAUUCUGGCUGGGUAUCUCAGUUUAAUCCAAUGAACUCUCAAGUUUAUCAGCCUUCACAACCUGGUCCCUGGACUACUUAUCCUGCAUCUAAUCCUCUGUCACAUACCUCAACCCAACAGUCAAGUCAGCAAGGCCACCAGACCUCUCACGUCUACAUGCCCAUCAGUUCACCUACUACUCCACAACCGCCGACAAUUCAUUCAUCUGGUAGUUCACAGUCUUCUGCUCAUAGCCAGUAUAACAUUCAGAAUAUUUCAACAGGACCUCGAAAAAAUCAGAUUGAAAUCAAACUUGAACCCCCACAAAGGAACAGUUCUUCAAAAUUGCGUUCUUCUGGACCUCGAACCUCCAGCACUUCCACUUCAGUCAACAGCCAGACCUUAAGUAGAAAUCAGCCCACUGUUUACAUAGCUGCCAGUCCCCCAAACACUGAUGAGAUGAUCUCCCGUAGUCAACCUAAGGUUUAUAUUUCAGCUAAUGCCACCACAGGAGAUGAACCAGGCAUGCGGAAUCAGCCCACAGUCUUCAUAUCCACAAACUCUGGAGCAUCUGCUGCCUCCAGGAAUAUGUCUGGGCAAGUGAGCAUGGGUCCUACCUUUAUUCAUCACCACCCUCCCAAAAGUCGAACAAUAGGCAGUAACUCUGUAACUUCUCCUCGAGUGGUGGUCACUCAACCCAAUACAAAAUAUACUUUCAAAAUUACAGUUUCUCCCAAUAAACCCCCUGCUGUUUCACCAGGAGUUGUUUCCCCUACCUUUGAACUUACAAAUCUUCUGAAUCAUCCUGAUCAUUAUGUAGAAACAGAAAAUAUUCAGCACCUCACAGACCCUACGUUAGCACAUGUGGAUAGAAUAAGUGAAGCACGGAAAUUGAGCAUGGGAUCUGAUGAUGCUGCCUACACACAAGCUCUGUUGGUACACCAGAAGGCCAGAAUGGAACGACUUCAAAGAGAACUUGAGAUUCAAAAGAAAAAGCUGGAUAAACUAAAAUCUGAGGUCAAUGAAAUGGAAAAUAAUCUAACUCGAAGGCGCCUAAAAAGAUCAAAUUCCAUAUCCCAAAUACCUUCACUUGAAGAAAUGCAGCAGUUGAGAAGUUGUAAUAGACAACUCCAGAUUGACAUUGACUGCUUAACCAAAGAAAUUGAUCUUUUUCAAGCCCGAGGACCACAUUUUAAUCCCAGCGCUAUUCAUAACUUUUAUGACAAUAUUGGAUUUGUAGGUCCUGUGCCACCAAAACCCAAAGUAAAAAAAAAAAGGACGGGACAUGCAGUUGAGUAUGAAGGCCCUGAGUUCAAUCCUCAGUACCACAGAAAGAAAAAUCAAAUCAUCCUAUAACAAAAGAAGAGGAAAAGAAGAGCAAGAAAACUGCCAAGUAUACUGAAGCAACAAAAUGGUAAGGUCCUAAAGAUACUUGCUUUAAAUAUAAAUGGAUUAAACUCAGCAGUCAAAAAGCAUAAAGUAUACUUUCUAAAUGAGACCCUUUUUGGAGGAGGGGUUUUUGUUUGUUUUGAGGCGAGGUAUCACUGUGCAGUUCAGGUUGACCUUGAACUCGCUAUGUAGCCAAGGCUGACCUCAACUUGCAGUGAUCAUCCUGCCUCAGCCUCCUGAAUGCUGGAUUACAGAUGUGCACCACAGCACUCAGUUUAAAUGAAACAUACAUAGGCUGAAAUUUGAAAGGAUAAAAAAGAUAUUUCAUGUAAAUGAUAACUAAAAUCAUGAAUGGCUAUAGUUUUAUAGGACUAUAGAUUUUUAACUCUAAGCAUAUGUAUGAUAAAAAGAUCAAUAGGAGGAUACAGGCAUACACAGAAGGGUCUACCUGACAGCAGAAAAAUGCAUAUUCUCAAGUAUAUAUAGAAUAUUCUCUAGGACAUAUCUUAUGUUCACAGAACAAUUCAUAGCAUAAUUUAAGAUGAUCUAGAUCAUUCCAGAUAUCUUUCUUGACUGUAGUGGAAUGAACUAGAAAUCAGUAUAACAAGAAAACCAUAAAAAUGAAUGGAAACUAACAACACACUUCUGAAUAUCCAUUGGAUAUUUGAGUAAAUCACAAGGAAAUCUAAAGUAUCUUUUGAAAAACAAAAACAGCAUACUAAAAUCUAUGGAAUGCAACAAAUGCAGUACAAACAGUAUGUUUACAGAGAUCAAUGCCUGUAUUAAGGAAGAAGAAAUAUCUCAAAUAACCUAACUUUACACUUUAAAGAAUUACAGCCAUUAAACUAAGCCCAAAGUUAAUAGAAGAAAGAACAUAACAAAGAAUGGAGCAAAAGUAGAUUAGAUAGAACUGGGCAUAGUGGCUCACACCUGUAAUUAUAGAGCUAAGGAAACUGGGGCAGAAGAAUUGUUGUGAGUUCAAAACCAGGCAGGGCUACAUAGUGAGUUGAAGGUCAACCUGAACUACCUAGUGAGACUCUGUCUCAAGAAAAGAGAAAGUAAAUCAGAUAAUUUUAAACAGUAGGAAAGUCAACAAAGCAAUUGUUUUUGUUUUUAAGAUAAAAUAGACAAACCAUUAGCUAGACAAUUAAUAAAAAACAAGAUCCAGCCAGACAUGGUAUCACACACCUGUAAUCUCAGCACUUGGGAGGCUAAGGCAGGUGGAUUACUUACAAAGUGAUCUCAAGGUCAGCCUGAACUGCACAGUGAGACCCUGUCUCAAAAAGACAAAAAUUUUUUUUUAAUUUUAAAAAACAAGAUUCACAGAAAAUCAUAACUAAAAUAGAAGACAUGACACUAGAUGCCUCAAUAAUAGAGAUCAAAAGAAACUAAUAGGAACAGUUAUUGUCCCAAAAAGUGAAUAACCUAGAAGAAAUAGAUAAAUUCUUAGAAAUGUAACAACCUAUCAGGACUCAAUCAAGAAGAAAUAGCUCAGAUGUACCAGUAAUAAAUAAGGAAAUUGAAUCAGUGAUCAAAAGUGUCCCGAUAAAGACAAACCUAGGACCAGAUGGUUUCAUGAAUGAAUUCUGCCAAAUAUUCCAGAAAUAAUUAAUUGUUUAUUACUUUCCAAAAAAAAAAAGAAGAAUCAUUCUAUAAGGCCAGCAUUACCUUGCAAGCAAAACCAGACAAAGUACAAGUAAGAAAAGUAUAGGCCAAUAAGCAUAGAUAGUACUUCAUUAAAAUACUAACAAAUUGAAUUCAGCAACACACUAUAAAAGAUCAUACACCAUGACCAAAUGAAAUGUCUUCUAAGAAAGCAAGAAUGGUUCAAUAUAUGUGGAUUGAUCAGUAUGGUAAAACAGGGGAAAAAAUACUAUUAUCUCAGUAGGUGCAUUAAAAACAUUUUGACAAUGUUUUGAGAGUUAAAACUCAACAAAAUAGGAAUAAAUGGAACUAAUAUCAAAAUAAUGAAGGUCAUAUAUCAAACCCACACAGACAAUGUCAUAAUAAAUGGCAGGGAACUUAAAACUCUCCCUAUAAAAUCUGGUACAAGGCAAGAAUGGCUGCCACUGAGUAUAGAGUGGUGCAUGCCCAGUCUUUUUUGAAAUUAUUAUUUUGAGUCAGAUUCUCACUAAGUUCCUUGGGCUGUUUGAACGUAUGUUUCCCCUGCCUCAGCCUCCUGAGUAGUCACCAUUUCUUUUCAGUGUGGUACACAGACCAACCGUGCAGUCUUUGGUAAAGGGAAAAAUCAUAGUGUUUGUAGGGUUCAGUACUAUCCUUUCUCACUGCUGAAACAAAAUACUUGACACUCAGAAUUAAAGGGGGAAAGGUUUAUUAAGCUCAGAGUUUGUAGACAUUUCAAUCCAUAAAUUGUCUCACUCCAAGGCAGGGUAGCAUAUAGCAGAAGGACAACAGUUCAUAGUGGCAGAAGAUAGCAAAAGCAACCAGAGAGUGAGGGGAGGCAAGCCUCUUCUGUCCCUUACAACAUAUCCAGUCUACCAGGAUAAGGGUGGUGCCCAUCCAGUCAGUGAACUGAGCCACCAGUCACCCACCCUUGAUCCCAGUACCCUUUAUUUCCAGCGUUGCACAACCAGUCACACACUCAGGAUUCUGCCACAUCCAAAAAAGUGCUGUGACUGCAUGAGACUUUAGUGGGACAUCUAACACAAACCAUAACAAGUACAGUCUAUAGAGUUUCACUAGGGGGAUCUUAACACGAUUUCCUUAUCCCAGAAGAAGACUGCAGUAUAUAUAGAAAAUCCUAAGACUUAAAAGAAAAGAACUUUAUUAAAAGAAUUUAGUAAAGUUGUAGGAUACAAAAUCAAUAUACAAAACCAGUUGUUUCUUUAUGUAAUGAGCCAAACAAAGAAAUCAAGACCAAGAAAAAUGUUCCACUUACAGUAGCAACAAAAAGAAUAAAAUACUUAGGAAUAAACCUAACCAAAGAGGUAGAAGACUUGUACACCAAAAUUACAAAGAUUGAUGAAAGAAAUUAAAGAUUAAUGAAAUACUUCUGUGUUCAUGGACUGGAGAAAUCAUUAUUAUUCAAACGACCUUAUUACUCGUGUUCUACAGAGCCUAUGCAAUCAUGUUCAAAAUCUCAGUGGCAUUCUCUAUAGAAACAGAAAAAAAAAUCCAGAAAUUCAAAUGAAGCCACAAAAGACCCCAAAUAACCAAAGCAAUCUUGAAUAAGAACAAAACUGGAGACAUCACACUCGCUUGUUUCAGAAGCCACAGUAAUUAAAACAAUAUGCUACCAGCAUAAAAGUAGAUAUGGAAUAAAGAGCCCGAAGUAAAUGCAUGCAUCUAUUGGCAACUUACCAUUGGCCAAGUUGCCAACACCACAAUGGAGAAGUGACCGUUUCUUUAAUAGAUGACAUUGGAAAAAUCAAGUAUCUACAUGGAUACAAGUGAAUGAGAAUCCUUAUACACAGUGCACAAAGAUCAUCUUAAAAAGGAUUAAAGAUUUAAACAAAAUGUGGAAACAAAAACUAGAAGGAAACGUCAGAUAAAACUUCCUUGAAAUUGUUCUGGACAAUGAUUUUUUGGAUAUGGCAACGAGCAAAAAUAGACAAAUGGGAUUGCAUUGAACUAAAAAGCUUCUACACAACAAAGAAAACAUUCAAAAAGGCUACUUACUGUUCUUUCUCUUCUAUUAGAUGUGAUUUUAAACAGUAAAACAAAUACAUCUGAUAAAUUUUUACACUGAUUUACCUCUUCAUGGUCUAUUGUUACUAUGUAGUUAAACUUUAGAAAUCAGUUUUGUUUUUUGUUUUUUUUAUGAUUUAUGUUUUUAGCAAAGAACACUUAAUGGAAAUUUCAUUCCUAGCUUAAAAAACAAAUAUAAACACUGUUUUGGUGGGCAGUGAAAACUGUUAAGACUCAAAUACACUUACAGUAUUGUUUUUCACUUUGCACAGUCUUAAAUGACAUAGAAAUGUUCACAAUUUGCUCCCUUCUCUUGUGCUGUAAGACAGAGAUGCUUAAGACAGUCAUAUGUUGUUUCCUCCCUUAAGGAGGUGUGAAAGUGAUUCAUGCCUUGCUGCCCUUCCCAGAAAACAAGCUGGAUGGAGGCUGGUGAUGGUCAAGCGUGUGUGGCAGUUUCAGCUAGUGUCUUCCUUUGGUUUACAGGAUCAAAGAUCCACCAUCAAAACACCAAAGACUCAAGACACAGAAGAUGAUGAGGGGGCUCAGUGGAAUUGCACUGCCUGUACUUUUUUGAACCAUCCAGCCUUAAUCCGCUGUGAACAAUGUGAGAUGCCACGGCAUUUCUGAGCCAGAAACCCCUAUGUCUUCACUAAAACCACAUCUAAAGUUCAAGAAAUCAAUCUGUCAUCGGGGAAAAGUUUCACUGCUACAUAGGAUUUUGUCAGUUUGAAGGUGUGACAAGAUGGUGUUGUGCUAAUGUUAAAUGUCAGCCCACAGAGCUAAUAAUACCUCAGUCUAAUGUCAUGGGCAGUGGAAAUUCAUCACAUGAAAGGUAAUCUGCUGAAAGACUUGGUUGCCUGCUGCCUAACCAUGUACAGUGUUACCAUUAUCCCGUUACGGAUAAUUCUCACUAUGUUAUUGCCUAGGUGUUCCCAGUAAUUUUCCCCCUCCUGUCACUACUGAAUUUUGACAGGAGGAAGGAAUAGAACAGUAGCUUUUUUUUUUAAAAGCUUUCAGUGAAACACUACAUACAUGAAGAGAAGGAACAAGGUAUAACUAUUUAAAAACUGUUUGCCUCUAACAGAUGCCAAUGGAUAGGGGAAGAACUUCACAAAUCUGUGGUACUCUUGGCCUUGUCUUUGUCUUCCCUGAAAAUGUCUCUGUGAAGCCAGCAUCUAGGACCUGAAGAUAAAAAGAGAGCAGCAUGCAUUGUUUGUACAAACAAUACAGUGAAAUACCCCAAAGCUUUUCCUACUGUACAGAUCUCUCAAGUCUGCUUUAAGUGAUUUCUUUAUUAUUCUUAUAUUUCUGUAUGUAUAGUGUAAUAGCCUUUUGUUAACUAAUUUUCUUUUUUCCUUUUAGUGAUUAAGCACGAUCAUGUCCCUUUUUAAGCCUUACUGAAAGAAACAAUGCCAUAAAAAUAAAAAAGCAUUAAUGAAAUGAAACUAUGCACAAAAUAACUUUCCUCUACUUAUUCUGUACUUUGCCCUCAUGGGUGCCAAUGUUCUGUGAAGAUAUACAAAUGCUGCACAAUGAAUUGCAGAAAACAUAAGAAUUACGUGGAUAGAUCAUACUGUGUACUGACUGGAGCAGUGGGUAGCACAAAACAGUGUCUUGUCUUCCAUAAGGAAGCUUAAAAGAUAUUUUUAACCCACUGACAGCUUGCUUCAACUGCUUGGUGUCCCACAGAAUUUUCACAAGAGAUUAUUUUGGGGAAAGUACAGUUUCAAAACCAGCAACAUCAGCAGUACCGACAGCCUCCCCACCCCCACCCCUUUUAAGAAGUUUAAAUGCCUUACUGUUGGGACAAUCUGUUUCUAAACCUGACUUGGUGGCAGUAUCAUGUGUAUUUAUAAAACAAGGCUAGUCAUAUUUAGGACAACUGAAGAAAAGCUGGAAAAAAUAAAACAAGCAAACUUGAACACUGAAGCAACCUCAAGCAUCUCUUUAUGUUGAUGAUAUAUUUUUAUAAGGAAAAUAAAUAUUCAGAUGAUCAGGAAUGUAUAUACCUAAAUGAAAUCAAGAAAAAAUAACAGUAUGCAUUUAAAAAGAAUUAUGAAAUUAUAUAUCAGUGCUUAGAAUGGGGCUAAGGGAAGUGCUGAAAUAUAGCAAAAGUAGGAAAUAAUGUAGACUGUCCCACUGUAAAUGUAUGCAAGUGGCUGUGUUUUAAAGAAACAGGAUUAUUACAGGUGAUCUCUAUGAAUGUAAAAGCCUUGGCGUCCUCCGGGCUUUGCAUUAUGUAUAUGAAAAGAAAUACGACAAUCCUAGAUAAACAGACAUAAACCCAAAGCCCUUAUAUUUGAUACAUUUUGUUUUAAAAAUAGACCUUGUUUUUCAGCUUCAUCUGCAGUUCUAUGUGAAGAUUGAUAAAUCAGUUUUUACUUGUUUUAUUAAUAAAAUGUAAUUUGGAUAUCUUGAGUUGAUGGUUUUGUGAUUUAGCUGGGUAAACUAUCUUUGUAACAGAUAAGUUAUUUAUAAAAAUUAAAAAACUUAUAUUCUAAAGUGAA